UAAGUACUUCCUCCGUCCAGAAAUAUUUGUCGAAGUAAUGAAGGUAUCUAGAUUUAUUUUAAUUUUAAAUACAUUCAUUUUAAUUAAUUUUUAUGAUAAAUAAUUCCGGACGGAGAAAGUACACA
Molecule: non-coding RNA, 125 nt
Organism: Hordeum vulgare subsp. vulgare (domesticated barley)
Lineage: Eukaryota; Viridiplantae; Streptophyta; Magnoliopsida; Poales; Poaceae
Source: Rfam